Molecule: ribosomal RNA, 498 nt
Filed under: uncultured bacterium
Lineage: Bacteria
Description: partial 16S ribosomal RNA
Rfam family: Bacterial small subunit ribosomal RNA
Source: RNAcentral
AUUGAACGCUGGCGGCAUGCCUUACACAUGCAAGUCGAACGGUAACAGGUCUUCGGAUGCUGACGAGUGGCGAACGGGUGAGUAAUACAUCGGAACGUGCCUAGUAGUGGGGGAUAACUACUCGAAAGAGUGGCUAAUACCGCAUGAGAUCUACGGAUGAAAGCAGGGGAUCGCAAGACCUUGUGCUACUAUAGCGGCCGAUGGCAGAUUAGGUAGUUGGUGGGAUAAAAGCUUACCAAGCCGACGAUCUGUAGCUGGUCUGAGAGGACGAUCAGCCACACUGGGACUGAGACACGGCCCAGACUCCUACGGGAGGCAGCAGUGGGGAAUUUUGGACAAUGGGCGAAAGCCUGAUCCAGCAAUGCCGCGUGCAGGAUGAAGGCCUUCGGGUUGUAAACUGCUUUUGUACGGAACGAAAAGCCCCGGGUUAAUACCCUGGGGUCAUGACGGUACCGUAAGAAUAAGCACCGGCUAACUACCUGCCAGCAGCCGCCGUAA